GGUCACCUGCACGAAGGAGAAGUGGUAAUGUUAGGGAGAAAAUAACGAUUUCAUCAUGCAUGUGCAAUUUUGUUUUGUUAAGAUGCUAUUAAAAUGAGU
Long non-coding RNA from Populus euphratica (Euphrates poplar), 99 nucleotides. RefSeq lists it as uncharacterized. Lineage: Eukaryota; Viridiplantae; Streptophyta; Magnoliopsida; Malpighiales; Salicaceae. The record is from RefSeq and is a predicted model, not a curated record. The transcript has 3 exons.